GGGAAGUAGCUCAGCUUGGUAGAGCACAUGGUUUGGGACCAUGGGGUCGCAGGUUNUUAAAAUGGGGCCUUAGCUCA
RNAcentral lists this transfer RNA (77 nucleotides) under Heyndrickxia shackletonii. RNAcentral describes it as "Bacillus shackletonii tRNA-Pro". Lineage: Bacteria; Bacillati; Bacillota; Bacilli; Caryophanales; Bacillaceae. The record is from RNAcentral.